UACAGAGGGUGCAAGCGUUAAUCGGAAUUACUGGGCGUAAAGCGUGCGUAGACGGUUAUUUAAGUCAGGUGUGAAAGCCCCGGGCUCAACCUGGGAAUUGCAUUCGAGACUGAAUAGCUAGGGUACGGUAGAGGGAAGUGGAAUUUCCGGUGUAGCGGUGAAAUGCGUAGAUAUCGGAAGGAACAUCAGUGGCGAAAGCGACUUCCUGGACCAGUACCGACGUUCAGGCACGAAAGCGUGGGGAGCAAACAGG
RNAcentral lists this ribosomal RNA (253 nucleotides) under uncultured bacterium. Its description in RNAcentral is "partial 16S ribosomal RNA". It matches the Rfam family "Bacterial small subunit ribosomal RNA", at positions 524 to 776 of the family's 1533-position model. The record is from RNAcentral.